RNAcentral lists this unclassified non-coding RNA (219 nucleotides) under Hevea brasiliensis (rubber tree). Lineage: Eukaryota; Viridiplantae; Streptophyta; Magnoliopsida; Malpighiales; Euphorbiaceae. The record is from RNAcentral.
AUCACAACCAUUAACACUGAUUAAGACUAGAAAAAAUAACUUCAAGCUGUAUUAUAUGUCACAUCUUCAAUUGCAUAAUCAUAAGUAUACUCAGACAACAUAUCUGUAAGUUACAUAUCUUCCUGCAGUCUCACUUGGUCUGAUGAUCUUCACAACUUGUCCACGCUUUAGCCCGUAAUAUCUUGCAACCGGGUCAGUCACCUGUAUGCGUGGUAGCUG